Molecule: transfer RNA, 35 nt
Filed under: Anatololacerta danfordi (Danford's lizard)
Lineage: Eukaryota; Metazoa; Chordata; Lepidosauria; Squamata; Lacertidae
Description: partial tRNA-Ser
Source: RNAcentral
AAGAGGCGUAUGAACAACCAGAACUGCUAACUCUA